This 633-nucleotide ribosomal RNA is filed under the name uncultured soil bacterium. RNAcentral's name for it is "bacterial SSU rRNA". It matches the Rfam family "Bacterial small subunit ribosomal RNA", at positions 55 to 702 of the family's 1533-position model. The record is from RNAcentral.
AUGCAAGUCACGGGGGCCCGCAAGGGCAACCGGCGAACGGGUGCGUAACACGUGAGCAAUCUGCCGAUUUCUGGGGGAUAGCCGGCCCAACGGCCGGGUAAUACCGCAUACGCUCGUUGAGAGGAUUCUCUCGGCGAGGAAACCUCCGGGGGAAAUCGAGGAGCUCGCGGCCUAUCAGCUAGUUGGCGGGGUAACGGCCCACCAAGGCGAUGACGGGUAGCUGGUCUGAGAGGAUGGCCAGCCACUGGGACUGAGAAACGGCCCAGACUCCUACGGGAGGCAGCAGUGGGGAAUCUUGCGCAAUGGCCGAAAGGUUGACGCAGCGACGCCGCGUGUGGGAGGACGCCCUUCGGGGUGUAAACCACUGUUGCCCGGGACGAACAUCCCCUUUCGAGGGGACUGACGGUACCGGGUGAGGAAGCACCGGCUAACUCCGUGCCAGCAGCCGCGGUAAUACGGAGGGUGCGAGCGUUGUCCGGAAUCACUGGGCGUAAAGGGCGCGUAGGUGGCGCGGGUAGUCGUCGGUGAAAGUUCAGGGCUCAACCCUGAAUCGGCCGGCGAUACUCCCGUGCUUGAGUGUGGUAGAGGCCAAUGGAAUUCCGGGUGUAGCGGUGGAAUGCGUAGAGAUCCGGA